CUUCUCUUUUCUUUCUUUCUUUCUUUCUUUCUUUCUUUCUUUCUUUCUUUCUUUCUUUCUUUCUUUCAGCAGUAGGUCUCAACAGUGGGCUUAAAAUAUUCAGUAAACCCUGUGUGCACAGAUGUGCUGUCAUCCAGGCUUUGAUGUUCCAUUUCUAGAGUAUGGGCAGAGUAGAUUUAGCAUAAUUCUUAAGGGCAGUAGGAUUUUUGGAAUGGUAAAUGAACACUGGCUUCAAUUUAAAGUCACCACCUGUACUGGCCUCUAACAAGAGAGUCAGCCUUCCCUUUGAAUCUUCAAAGCUAGACAUUGACUUCUCCUCUCUACCUAUGAAAGUCCUAGGUGGUAUCUUCUUCUAAUAUAAGUCUGUUUUGUCUACACUGAAAAUCUGUUGUUUAGUGUAGCCACCUUCAUGAAUUAUCUUAGCUUGAUCUUCUGGAUAACUUGCUGCAGCUUUUACAUCAGCAUUUGCUGCUUUUUCUUGGACUUUUAUGUUACAGAGACAGCUUCUUUCCUUAAACCUCAUGAACCGAUCUCUGCUAGCUUUAAACUUUUCUUUUGCAGCUUCCUCACCCCUCUGUAUUCAUAGAAGUGAAAACAGAAUGUGUCUCUGGACUGGAAUUUGGCUUAAGGGAAUGCUAUGGCUGUUUGAUCUUCUGUCCAGACUGUUAAAACUUUCUCCGUAUCAGCAUUUGGGUUGUUUUGCUUUCUUAUAAUAUGUGUGUUGACUGAGGUAGCAUUUCUAAUUACCUUCAAAGACUUUCCCUUUGAAUUCACAACUUGGCUAACUGUUUGGUGCAAGAGGCCUAGCUUUCAGCCUGUCUCAGCUUUUUGACUAAGCUUAUUUGUAGCGUUUGAUUUCAAGUGAGAGACAUUUGACACUUCCUUUCACUUGAACGCUUAGAGGCCAUUAUUGGGUUAUUAAUUGGCCUAUUUCAAUAUUGUUGUGUCUUAGGGAAUAGGGAGGCCCAAGAAGAAGAAAGAUGGAGGAAUGACCAUCAGUGGGGCAGUCAGAACACAUACAACAUUUAUCAGUCAAGUUGCCCAACUUAUAUGGACAUGGUUCAUGAUGCCGCAGUACAAUUACAAUAGCAACAUCAAAGAAAACCGUAACAGGGGUGCCUGAGUGGCGCAGUCACUUAAGUGUCUGACUUCUCUUUGCCCCUUCCCCAUUCGUGCUCUCUCUCUCUCUCUCUCUCUCUC
This is a long non-coding RNA of Neofelis nebulosa (Clouded leopard), 1200 nucleotides long. RefSeq lists it as uncharacterized. The transcript has 2 exons. NCBI's taxonomy places the organism in Eukaryota, Metazoa, Chordata, Mammalia, Carnivora, Felidae. The record is from RefSeq and is a predicted model, not a curated record.